AUGGCAAGGUCGACAGAGCCAUUCCAAGCAAUGCAUAGCAUCCUCAGCAGCAACAACAACACAAUAGGCCACAAAACCCCAUUGUCGUCGCCGCUGGAAAUGGGUUCAUCUUCAGCAUUGGACGAGAAAGCACACGUCGUGUGCCUGCCGGCGGCCGCGCAAGGGCACAUCAACCCAAUGCUCGACGUGGCCAAGAUGCUCCACGCCCGCGGCUUCCACAUCACCUUCGUCAACACCGAGUACAACCACGCCCGCCUUGUCCAUGCGCAGGGCGCGGACGCGGUACCCGGUGUCCCGGGGUUCCGCUUCGCCACCAUUCCGGACGGCAUGUCACGGUCCGACAACAACGUCACGCAUGAUGUCCCAUCAAUCUGCAAGGUCAUCACGGAGGUCUGCCUUGGGCCCUUCCGACGCCUCCUCGCGGAGCUCAACGACCCGGCAACGGGCCACCCGCCCGUGACCUGCAUCAUCUCCGACGUCGUGAUGGACUUCUCCAUGGAAGCAGCCAGGGAGCUCGGCCUCCCCUACGUACAGCUGUGGGCAUCCAGUGCUAUCAGCUUUGUCGCUCUCCGGCACUACCGCCUCCUCUUCGACCGUGGCCUCGCACCGAUCAAGGACUUCAAGCAGUUGACGAACGAGUACCUUGACACGCCGGUGGAAGACGUGCCGGGCUUGCGGAACAUGAGGUUCAGGGACUUCCCAUCCUUCAUACGCAGUGUGGCACCGGACGACUACAUGUUGCAUUUCACGCUCGGGGUCGUAGAGCGCGCGGUCGGCGCAUCAGCACUGAUCAUCAACACUUUCGACGACCUUGAGGGAGAGGCAGUGGCGGCCAUGGAGGCGCUCGGCCUGCCCAAGGUCUACACCAUUGGCCCGCUCCCGCUCCUGGCACCGAGCUCAAACAUCAGCAUGAGCCUGUGGAAGCAGCAGGAGGAGUGCCUGCCAUGGCUUGACGACAAGGAGCCUGGCUCCGUCGUGUACGUGAACUUCGGCAGCACCACCAUCAUGACCGACGGGCAGCUGCUGGAGUUCGCCUGGGGCCUAGCCAUGAGUGGCAGGCAUUUCCUCUGGAUCAUCCGUCCCGACCUCGUCAGGGGGGUCACCGCGGUGCUUCCCCCAGAGUUCUCGGUCGAAACCGCCGAGCGCGGUCUCGUUGCCUCCUGGUGCCCGCAGCAACAAGUGUUGAAUCACCCGGCAGUGGGUGUGUUCCUGACACAUAGCGGCUGGAACUCGACAUUGGAUAGCAUGUGUGGCGGUGUGCCCGUCAUCAGCUGGCCAUUCUUUGCGGACCACCAGACCAUCUGCCGAUACCAAUGCACUGAAUGGGGCGUUGGCAUGGAGAUCGACAGCGACGUUCGGCGUGACACCGUCGCAAGACUUAUCACGGAGGUCAUGGAGGGUCAGAAUGGCAAGGUGAUGAAGAAGAAGGCGCAGGAGUGGAGGGAGAGAGCGGUCAAGGCGACCAAGCCCGGCGGCUCGUCUCGCCGCAACUUCGAGGAGUUGAUCCAUGAGGUGCUAGCUCCUACUCCUCGCCGCUCUGCAUAA
Molecule: ribosomal RNA, 1545 nt
Filed under: Triticum aestivum (bread wheat)
Lineage: Eukaryota; Viridiplantae; Streptophyta; Magnoliopsida; Poales; Poaceae
Description: partial small subunit ribosomal RNA
Source: RNAcentral